RNAcentral lists this ribosomal RNA (158 nucleotides) under Ulocladium sp. r230. Its description in RNAcentral is "5.8S ribosomal RNA". It matches the Rfam family "5.8S ribosomal RNA". From Rfam's summary of the family: 5.8S ribosomal RNA (5.8S rRNA) is a component of the large subunit of the eukaryotic ribosome. It is transcribed by RNA polymerase I as part of the 45S precursor that also contains 18S and 28S rRNA. Lineage: Eukaryota; Fungi; Ascomycota; Dothideomycetes; Pleosporales; Pleosporaceae. The record is from RNAcentral. RNAcentral also lists the same sequence under 2 other names.
CAACUUUUAACAACGGAUCUCUUGGUUCUGGCAUCGAUGAAGAACGCAGCGAAAUGCGAUAAGUAGUGUGAAUUGCAGAAUUCAGUGAAUCAUCGAAUCUUUGAACGCACAUUGCGCCCUUUGGUAUUCCAAAGGGCAUGCCUGUUCGAGCGUCAUUU